GUAGGUGGCAAGCGUUGUCCGGAUUUAUUGGGUUUAAAGGGUGCGUAGGCGGUCCCAUAAGUCAGUGGUGAAAUACUCUAGCUUAACUAGAGGGGUGCCAUUGAUACUGCGGGACUUGAGUGGAGUUGAAGUGGGCGGAAUUGACGGUGUAGCGGUGAAAUGCUUAGAUGUCGUCAAGAACACCGAUAGUGAAGACAGCUCACUAAGCUCAAACUGACGCUGAGGCACGAAAGUGUGGGGAUCAAACAGGAUUAGAUACCCUGGUAGUCCACACUGUAAACGUUGAUUACUCGCUGUUGGCGAUACACAGCCAGCGGCUAAGCGCAAGCGAUAAGUAAUCCACCUGGGGAGUACGCCGGCAACGGUG
This 367-nucleotide ribosomal RNA is filed under the name uncultured bacterium. RNAcentral's name for it is "bacterial SSU rRNA". It matches the Rfam family "Bacterial small subunit ribosomal RNA", at positions 527 to 896 of the family's 1533-position model. The record is from RNAcentral.